Molecule: ribosomal RNA, 780 nt
Filed under: uncultured bacterium
Lineage: Bacteria
Description: bacterial SSU rRNA
Rfam family: Bacterial small subunit ribosomal RNA
Source: RNAcentral
UGAGUAACGCGUAUCCAACCUUCCGUACACUCAGGGAUAGCCUUUCGAAAGAAAGAUUAAUACCUGAUGGUAUGAUGAGAUUGCAUGAUAGCAUCAUUAAAGAUUUAUCGGUGUACGAUGGGGAUGCGUUCCAUUAGGUAGUAGGCGGGGUAACGGCCCACCUAGCCGACGAUGGAUAGGGGUUCUGAGAGGAAGGUCCCCCACAUUGGAACUGAGACACGGUCCAAACUCCUACGGGAGGCAGCAGUGAGGAAUAUUGGUCAAUGGACGAGAGUCUGAACCAGCCAAGUAGCGUGAAGGAUGAAGGUCCUACGGAUUGUAAACUUCUUUUAUAAGGGAAUAAAACCUCCCACGUGUGGGAACUUGUAUGUACCUUAUGAAUAAGCACCGGCUAACUCCGUGCCAGCAGCCGCGGUAAUACGGAGGAUGCGAGCGUUAUCCGGAUUUAUUGGGUUUAAAGGGAGCGCAGACGGGUCGUUAAGUCAGCUGUGAAAGUUUGGGGCUCAACCUUAAAAUUGCAGUUGAUACUGGCGUCCUUGAGUGCGGUUGAGGUGUGCGGAAUUCGUGGUGUAGCGGUGAAAUGCUUAGAUAUCACGAAGAACUCCGAUUGCGAAGGCAGCACACUAAGCCGUAACUGACGUUCAUGCUCGAAGGUGUGGGUAUCAAACAGGAUUAGAUACCCUGGUAGUCCACACGGUAAACGAUGGAUACUCGCUGUUGGCGAUAUACAGUCAGCGGCUUAGCGAAAGCGUUAAGUAUCCCACCUGGGGAGUACGCCGG